This 1552-nucleotide ribosomal RNA is filed under the name Escherichia coli. RNAcentral's name for it is "bacterial SSU rRNA". It matches the Rfam family "Bacterial small subunit ribosomal RNA". The record is from RNAcentral. Lineage: Bacteria; Pseudomonadati; Pseudomonadota; Gammaproteobacteria; Enterobacterales; Enterobacteriaceae.
AAAUUGAAGAGUUUGAUCAUGGCUCAGAUUGAACGCUGGCGGCAGGCCUAACACAUGCAAGUCGAACGGUAACAGGAAUCAGCUUGCUGAUUCGCUGACGAGUGGCGGACGGGUGAGUAAUGUCUGGGAAACUGCCUGAUGGAGGGGGAUAACUACUGGAAACGGUAGCUAAUACCGCAUAACGUCGCAAGACCAAAGAGGGGGACCUUCGGGCCUCUUGCCAUCGGAUGUGCCCAGAUGGGAUUAGCUAGUAGGUGGGGUAACGGCUCACCUAGGCGACGAUCCCUAGCUGGUCUGAGAGGAUGACCAGCCACACUGGAACUGAGACACGGUCCAGACUCCUACGGGAGGCAGCAGUGGGGAAUAUUGCACAAUGGGCGCAAGCCUGAUGCAGCCAUGCCGCGUGUAUGAAGAAGGCCUUCGGGUUGUAAAGUACUUUCAGCGGGGAGGAAGGGAGUAAAGUUAAUACCUUUGCUCAUUGACGUUACCCGCAGAAGAAGCACCGGCUAACUCCGUGCCAGCAGCCGCGGUAAUACGGAGGGUGCAAGCGUUAAUCGGAAUUACUGGGCGUAAAGCGCACGCAGGCGGUUUGUUAAGUUAGAUGUGAAAUCCCCGGGCUCAACCUGGGAACUGCAUCUGAUACUGGCAAGCUUGAGUCUCGUAGAGGGGGGUAGAAUUCCAGGUGUAGCGGUGAAAUGCGUAGAGAUCUGGAGGAAUACCGGUGGCGAAGGCGGCCCCCUGGACGAAGACUGACGCUCAGGUGCGAAAGCGUGGGGAGCAAACAGGAUUAGAUACCCUGGUAGUCCACGCCGUAAACGAUGUCGACUUGGAGGUUGUGCCCUUGAGGCGUGGCUUCCGGAGCUAACGCGUUAAGUCGACCGCCUGGGGAGUACGGCCGCAAGGUUAAAACUCAAAUGAAUUGACGGGGGCCCGCACAAGCGGUGGAGCAUGUGGUUUAAUUCGAUGCAACGCGAAGAACCUUACCUGGUCUUGACAUCCACAGAACUUUCCAGAGAUGGAUUGGUGCCUUCGGGAACUGUGAGACAGGUGCUGCAUGGCUGUCGUCAGCUCGUGUUGUGAAAUGUUGGGUUAAGUCCCGCAACGAGCGCAACCCUUAUCCUUUGUUGCCAGCGGUCCGGCCGGGAACUCAAAGGAGACUGCCAGUGAUAAACUGGAGGAAGGUGGGGAUGACGUCAAGUCAUCAUGGCCCUUACGACCAGGGCUACACACGUGCUACAAUGGCGCAUACAAAGAGAAGCGACCUCGCGAGAGCAAGCGGACCUCAUAAAGUGCGUCGUAGUCCGGAUUGGAGUCUGCAACUCGACUCCAUGAAGUCGGAAUCGCUAGUAAUCGUGGAUCAGAAUGCCACGGUGAAUACGUUCCCGGGCCUUGUACACACCGCCCGUCACACCAUGGGAGUGGGUUGCAAAAGAAGUAGGUAGCUUAACCUUCGGGAGGGCGCUUACCACUUUGUGAUUCAUGACUGGGGUGAAGUCGUAACAAGGUAACCGUAGGGGAACCUGCGGUUGGAUCACCUCCUUACCUUAAAGAA